Molecule: transfer RNA, 85 nt
Filed under: compost metagenome
Description: tRNA-Glu
Source: RNAcentral
UCAUCGCGCGGGUUGACCACCAGGUCGGCGCCCAUUUCGCGGGCGAAGGCCAGUUGUGCAUCGUUCACGUCGAUGGCGAUGACCC